RNAcentral lists this microRNA (22 nucleotides) under Drosophila ananassae. RNAcentral describes it as "Dan-Mir-216-P2_3p* (star (passenger))". Lineage: Eukaryota; Metazoa; Arthropoda; Insecta; Diptera; Drosophilidae. The record is from RNAcentral.
CACUUUGCAACUGGAGAUUGCU